UUGAUAGCCCUGGAGACUGCAGUCCUCUACCCACAGAAUAGGUACAGCAUGAGCAGUGGCAGUGCAAGCCUCACUUUAGCUGUUUAGCAGAUGUACCUAAACUCUGACUUGAAAGGAUCACCUCUAGGAACAAAAGGGAACUUUGGCUUCAUGGCCCAUGUAGAUCCUUGGGCAGU
RNAcentral lists this small RNA (176 nucleotides) under Chrysemys picta bellii (western painted turtle). RNAcentral describes it as "TUC338 (ENSCPBG00000022005.1)". The record is from RNAcentral. Lineage: Eukaryota; Metazoa; Chordata; Testudines; Emydidae.